Molecule: long non-coding RNA, 703 nt
Organism: Oncorhynchus tshawytscha (Chinook salmon)
Lineage: Eukaryota; Metazoa; Chordata; Actinopteri; Salmoniformes; Salmonidae
Source: Ensembl
CAGGUAGUGACCAUCUCUGAAGUGGAAGGUGUGUGUGUCAGGGUGUGAAAGCCCAGGUAGUGACCAUCUCUGAAGUGGAAGGUGUGUGUGUCAGGGUGUGAAAGCCCAGGUAGUGACCAUCUCUGAAGUGGAAGGUGUGUGUGUCAGGGUGUGUGAGCGUCUCUGAAGUGAAAGGUGUGUGUGUCAGGGUGUGAAAGCCCAGGUAGUGACCGUCUCUGAAGUGAAAGGUGUGUGUGUCAGGGUGUGAAAGCCCAGGUAGUGAGCAUCUCUGAAGUGGAAGGUGUGUGUGUCAGGGUGUGUGAGCGUCUCUGAAGUGAAAGGUGUGUGUGUCAGGGUGUGAAAGCCCAGGUAGUGACCGUCUCUGAAGUGAAAGGUGUGUGUGUGAGCGUCUCUGAAGUGGAAGGUGUGUGUGUCAGGGUGUGUGAAAGCCCAGGAAGUGAGCAUCUCUGAAGUGGAAGAGGGAUAUCAAUAAUUGAAUCCAGACAGACUUCCUCUGUCUCAUUUCAUUUUCCCUUCUCUUUCUUUCUCUCGCUCUCUUGUUCCCCACUUCUCUGUCUCCCUCUAUCUUUAUCUCUCUCGCUCCCUUUCUCUCUCACAAUCUCUUUCUCUCUGUCCUCUCUCUCUCUCUCCCUUUCUCUCUCACACUCUCUUUCUUUCUGUCCUCUCUCUCUCUCCCUUUCUCUCUCACACUCUCUUUCUUUCC